UACAUAUUCGUUAAGGGCAUAUGGUGGAUGCCUCGACAUUAAAAGACGAUGAAGGACGUAGCAACCUGCGAAAAGCUUCGGUGAGGUGGUAAGCAACCUUUGACCCGGAGAUAUCCGAAUGGGGAAACCCGAUCUAAUGGAAGAUUAGAUCAUCAUUACCUGAAUACAUAGGGUGGUGAAGACAACUCGGCGAAUUGAAACAUCUUAGUAGCCGAAGGAAAAGAAAGAGAAUACGCAAUUUACAUUGUGUAAUUAUCUUUUUCGAUAAUUACAUAAUUGUAGGUUGUUCCAUUCCCUAAGUAGUGGCGAGCGAAAGGGGAAUAGCCCAAAUUCUGUAGACUAUCUCUAAUUUAGUUAGAUUAAUUCUCCGGAGUUAAUCUAACUUAUUAGAAUUUUUAAGGAUACAAGUCCGUAAUGUGUACAGAACGUUGUAAGAUAGUUACGUUUGAACUCUUGUAGGUUCUAGGUAGAGAAAAAAGUUUAACUUUCCUAGUUGAAUGUUUCUGGAAAGAAGCAACCAUAGAAGGUGAUAGUCCUGUAAGCGAAAGGAGUUAUAGCUCUACGGUAAUUAUUCUUGAGUACCACGGGUGUCGUGAAACCCUGUGGGAAUCCGGCCAGACUAUUGGCUAAGGCUAAAUACUUUUAAUGAUCGAUAGUGUACAAGUACCGUGAGGGAAAGGUGAAAAGCAUCCCUGUAAGGGAGAUGAAAUAGUAUCUGAAACCAUAUGCUUACAAGGAGUCGGAGCCCGCAAGGGUGACGGCGUUCCUAUUGAAGAAUGAGCCAACGAGUUCAUUUUUGCGGCAAGCCUAAGUUCUUUUCAGGACGGAGGCGUAGUGAAAGCGAGGGUUAAUAGCCCGACUUAGUCGUAGGAAUGAGACCCGAAGCCAAGUGACCUAGCCAUGGCCAGGGCGAACCAAGUGUAAUAACUUGGGGAGGCCCGAACCCUUGAGUCGUGCAAAACUCUGGGAUGAGCUGUGGUUAGAGGUGAAAUGCUAAUCGAACUUGGCAAUAGCUGGUUCUCCUCGAAAUAGCUUUAGGGCUAGCCUUAUCGUUGCGCCCGGGGGUAGAGCACUGAAUGGGUGUGGAUGGAUUUAUCCUACUUCACCCAACCAAACUCCGAAUACCGGGUUAGCUUUAAUCGAUAGGAGUUAGACUAUGGGGGCUAAGCUCCAUUAGUCGAAAGGGAAACAGCCCAGACCAUCAUCUAAGGUCCCUAAAUUUAAGCUAAGUGUUAAAGGUGGUGACAUGACUCAAACAACCAGGAGGUUGGCUUAGAAGCAGCCAUCCUUUAAAGAAAGCGUAAUAGCUCACUGGUCCAGUUGUCUUGCGCCGAAAAUUUACCGGGGCUAAAGCUUAAUACCGAAGAUAUGGAUUUCUUCAGCUUUCGAGCUGGAGGAGUGGUAGAGGAGUAUUCUUUGUUCACCGAAGCCGGACUCGCGAGAGCUGGUGGAGAGCAAAGAAGUAAGAAUGUUGGCAUGAGUAGCAAAAAGGCGGGUGAGAACCCCGCCCACCGUAAGCCUAAGGUUUCCUGGGCAACGCAAAUCGACCCAGGGUUAGUCGGUCCUAAGGCGAGGCCGAAAGGCGUAGUCGAUGGAUGAGCUGGUUAAUAUUCCAGCACUACUUAUGGUUUUCGAUGGGGUGACGCAUUUGUAGAGGUAGAGCGUUCUAUGGUAUGGACGUUGCUUGCCUUAAGUGUGAUAGUAGGCAAAUCCGCUAUCAUCAACACAAAGGUCGGCAGAAGGUUGAAAGCUUGCUGAUACCAAUUCUACCAAAGUGAGUGCCAAGAAAAACCUCUAGAGUUAAGCCAUAAGUAACCGUACCGUAAACCGACACAGGUAGGCGGGCAUAAGUGUGCCAAGGUGUACGAGAGAACUUUCGUUUAGGAACUCGGCAAAAUAGCGUCCGUACGUUCGCAAUAAGGGCUGCCUGACCGUGCCUCAUUGCAUUCGGCACGGAAUGAUCAAUGAUCAAUAACCAAUGAUCAAACAAUUAUUAAUGAUCAAUUUCUAAUUAUCAAAACGUUUUGUAAUUUGAUUAUUAAAAUUUGAAAUUUGUUUGGAAAUUAAAUAUUGAAAUUUGAGAUUUCCGCAACCGAGCGCAGCGAGGUGCGGUAAGGCCGCAGCUAAAGAUCUCAAGCGACUGUUUACCAAAAACAUAGGUCCCUGCUAAACCGUAAGGUGAUGUAUAGGGGCUGAUGCCUGGCCAGUGUCCGAACGUUAAAGAAGGGGGUGAUAUCAGUUUACUGAUUGAGCUUUCGACUGAAGCGCGGAUGAACGCCGGCGAUAACUAUAAUCGUCCUAAGGUAGCGAAAUUCCUUGUCGGGUGAGUUCCGACCUGCACGAAUGGCAUAACGGCUUGAGAACUGUCUAAACGAAGGACUCGGC
Molecule: ribosomal RNA, 2385 nt
Filed under: Patescibacteria group bacterium
Lineage: Bacteria
Description: partial 23S ribosomal RNA
Rfam family: Bacterial large subunit ribosomal RNA
Source: RNAcentral